UCUAGCGKCGGACGGGUGAGUAACGCGUGSGMNNNNGCCCUUUGCUACGGAAUAGUCCCGGGAAACUGGGUUUAAUACCGUAUACGCCCUUCGGGGGARAGAUUUAUCGGCAAAGGAUCGGCCCGCGUUGGAUUAGGUAGUUGGKGGGGUAAUGGCCUACCAAGCCGACGAUCCAUAGCUGGKUUGAGAGGAUGAUCAGCCACACUGGGACUGAGACAYRGNMNAGACUCCUACGGGAGGCAGCAGUGGGGAAUCUUAGACAAUGGGGGCAACCCUGAUCUAGCCAUGCCGCGUGAGUGAUGAAGGCCUUAGGGUUGUAAAGCUCUUUCAGCUGGGAAGAUAAUGACGGUACCAGCAGAAGAAGCCCCGGCUAACUCCGUGCCAGCAGCCGCGGUAAUACGGAGGGGGGCUAGCGUUGUUCGGAAUUACUGGGCGUAAAGCGCACGUAGGCGGAUCGGAAAGUUGGGGGUGAAAUCCCGGGGCUCAACCUCGGAACUGCCUCCAAAACUAUCGGUCUUGAGUUCGAGAGAGGUGAGUGGAAUUCCGAGUGUAGAGGGUGAAAUUCGUAGAUAUUCGGAGGAACACCAGUGGCGARGGCGKCUCACUGGYUCGAUWCUGACGYUGAGGNGCKAAAGCGUGGGNGCAAACAGGAUUAGAUACCCUGGNAGUCCACGCCGUAAACGAUGAAUGC
Molecule: ribosomal RNA, 691 nt
Filed under: bacterium GD46LO50%
Lineage: Bacteria
Description: partial 16S ribosomal RNA
Rfam family: Bacterial small subunit ribosomal RNA
Source: RNAcentral